GACAGAGGGUGCAAACGUUGUUCGGAAUUACUGGGCGUAAAGCGUGUGUAGGCGGCUUUGCAAGUCGGAUGUGAAAGCCCCGGGCUCAACCCGGGAAGUGCACUCGAUACUGCAGGGCUAGAGUAUCGGAGAGGUUGGUGGAAUUCUCGGUGUAGAGGUGAAAUUCGUAGAUAUCGAGAGGAACACCGGCGGCGAAGGCGGCCAACUGGACGAUUACUGACGCUGAGGCGCGAAAGCGUGGGGAGCAAACAGG
Molecule: ribosomal RNA, 253 nt
Filed under: uncultured bacterium
Lineage: Bacteria
Description: partial 16S ribosomal RNA
Rfam family: Bacterial small subunit ribosomal RNA
Source: RNAcentral